This 220-nucleotide ribosomal RNA is filed under the name uncultured bacterium. RNAcentral describes it as "partial 16S ribosomal RNA". It matches the Rfam family "Bacterial small subunit ribosomal RNA", at positions 524 to 742 of the family's 1533-position model. The record is from RNAcentral.
UACGUAGGGUGCAAGCGUUGUCCGGAAUUAUUGGGCGUAAAGAGCUCGUAGGCGGUCUGUCGCGUCGGACGUGAAAACCCAGGGCUCAACCCUGGGCCUGCGUUCGAUACGGGCAGACUAGAGUUCGGUAGGGGAGACUGGAAUUCCUGGUGUAGCGGUGAAAUGCGCAGAUAUCAGGAGGAACACCAGUGGCGAAGGCAGGCUCGCUGGGACGGUACUG